RNAcentral lists this long non-coding RNA (1085 nucleotides) under Bos indicus x Bos taurus (hybrid cattle). Its description in RNAcentral is "lncRNA (ENSBIXG00000005987.1)". Lineage: Eukaryota; Metazoa; Chordata; Mammalia; Artiodactyla; Bovidae. The record is from RNAcentral.
AUGCCGCGGCCCGCGUGCGCCCGCUCCGGGGACUGCGCCUGCGCGGCCGGCCCUCACGGAGCCCGGGGAAGGUUGCGCCUGCGCAGUCGGCCCACUCCGGCCCGGGGGCGGGACUGCGCCUGCGCAGUCGGCCCAACCCAGCCCUGGGGGCGGGGCGACGCCUGUGGAAUCGCCCCUUCAGCGGCGCCUCGGCACCUAGAGCCGCCCGUCCGGCCGGGCCCCGGGGAGAGGCGGGCGUGCGGGCAUUGCGCCUGCGCGCGCCGGCCCCGCCCCCGGCCCCGCCCCGGCCGCGCGGGGCCCUGGGAGGGGUGCAGCGUCCGGCGGCUGCGGCGGCGGCGCGGGAGGGGCCGGGGGCGGACAAAGCCGAGGCCGAUGAAUGGGGCGCGUCCGCCUGCGCGGCCGUGGGGUCCCCGCGAGCAUAUUCGACAGGAGGCCCUGGUUCCUGCGUCCUGCGUAUCCUGGCUUGCGCCUGCUCACCCCAGACUCCGCUCCUCCCGCCCCCGCAGCCACAAGUCUGGCCUCUUGGUGACUGUUUGUGUCUCACAGGAUUUUAUUCUUAAAUAAAUGCUCAGCCUCAGGCCUGGUUAGGCAGACAGCAGAAGAAGGCAGACCGCAGGCCCCUUGUCCGUGGGAGCAGUGGGAUGGCCCAGGGAGGCAGAGACUCCGAGAAGGUAAGCAGGGCGCUCGGGGCAGGAGAGGCCGACGGAGAGGGUGUUUGGUCCUGUGACUGGGCUGUGAAGUCAGGAGCAAGCAGAGUCUCACCUGACCGUUGUGGGAUCUCUCUCACACAUACUGAGGCUGACGUAUCCAUGACUGGAUUUGAAACGUGAGCGAGUCCUUGUCUUACUCGGUUCCAUCUGUUGUAGGUGACGCAGAAGGAGCACCAUGCCAUCAAGCCACCAGCGUCCCUGUGCCCGAGACCAGCAGGUCCGCCCCGUGUGCGCGCACGUCUGCCCCGCGAUGCGUUUACCGGGAGAACUCCGGGAGCGGCGUGAGGUGACACGCUCACGAGUUCGCCCGUCCACUGCUCAGUGAGAUUCAUGCUUAGCGUAUUCAUAAACAUCCUGAGAGAGAGAGUUCUUCGG